Molecule: ribosomal RNA, 519 nt
Filed under: uncultured fungus
Lineage: Eukaryota; Fungi
Description: SSU rRNA
Rfam family: Eukaryotic small subunit ribosomal RNA
Source: RNAcentral
AUAAAAAACCAAUGCCCUUCGGGGCUCCUUGGUGAUUCAUAAUAACUUAACGAAUCGCAUAGCCUUGUGCUGGCGAUGGUUCAUUCAAAUUUCUGCCCUAUCAACUUUCGAUUGUAUGGUAUUGGCUUACAAUGGUUUCAACGGGUAACGGGGAAUUAGGGUUCUAUUCCGGAGAGGGAGCCUGAGAAACGGCUACCACAUCCAAGGAAGGCAGCAGGCGCGCAAAUUACCCAAUCCCGACACGGGGAGGUAGUGACAAUAAAUACUGAUACAGGGCUCUUUUGGGUCUUGUAAUUGGAAUGAGUACAAUUUAAAUCCCUUAACGAGGAACAAUUGGAGGGCAAGUCUGGUGCCAGCAGCCGCGGUAAUUCCAGCUCCAAUAGCGUAUAUUAAAGUUGUUGCAGUUAAAAAGCUCGUAGUUGAACUUCAGACCUGGCCGGGUGGUCCGCUUAACGGCGUGUACUGUCUGGCUGGGCCUUACCUCUUGGUGAGCCGGUGUGCCCUUUAUUGGUGUGCGCC